Molecule: long non-coding RNA, 309 nt
Organism: Numida meleagris (helmeted guineafowl)
Lineage: Eukaryota; Metazoa; Chordata; Aves; Galliformes; Numididae
Source: Ensembl
UCGGAGCAGUGUUCAUUGUGAAGUCACAGCAACAUGCCCCAACUGCUGGGGCUGCAUCUGGCUGCUGCCACAAAACACUCCGUGCUGAAUAGCUCUCUUCCUGCAUAACUCUUAUUCACAAAACACAAAAAGAACACAAACAACAUUUUCCUUUCAUUUAUUUCUUUCACUACUGUAGGAAGGAUGGACCCAAGCAACUUGGCUUAUGUACGGAACUGUCAAAGGACAUGAGCUUGUACUUUGCUACCGAACCAUCUGACUCUCUGUGUUGCCAUGGGAAGGACUGUAAUGCCAUAAAUUCAGAGAAGU